CCUUUGAUGACGACUGGCGCACGGGUGAGUAACGCGUAUCCAACCUUCCCAUAACUACGGGAUAACCCGUUGAAAGACGGCCUAAUACCGUAUGAUAUCGUUUGCUGACAUCAAAUAACGAUUAAAGGUUUAGCGGUUAUGGAUGGGAUGCGUCUGAUUAGCUUGUUGGCGGGGUAACGGCCCACCAAGGCUACGAUCAGUAGGGGUUCUGAGAGGAAGGUCCCCCACAUUGGAACUGAGACACGGUCCAAACUCCUACGGGAGGCAGCAGCU
This 273-nucleotide ribosomal RNA is filed under the name uncultured Prevotella sp. RNAcentral describes it as "partial 16S ribosomal RNA". It matches the Rfam family "Bacterial small subunit ribosomal RNA", at positions 82 to 355 of the family's 1533-position model. The record is from RNAcentral. Lineage: Bacteria; Pseudomonadati; Bacteroidota; Bacteroidia; Bacteroidales; Prevotellaceae.